GGAGAGAUGGCUGAGCGGUUGAAAGCACUGGUAUUGAAAACCAGCAUACGUUUAUAGCGUAUCUAGGGUUCAAAUCCCUAUCUCUCCGCCA
RNAcentral lists this transfer RNA (91 nucleotides) under Photobacterium toruni. RNAcentral's name for it is "tRNA-Ser". It matches the Rfam family "tRNA". Rfam says of the family: Transfer RNA (tRNA) molecules are approximately 80 nucleotides in length. RNAcentral also lists the same sequence under 1 other name. The record is from RNAcentral. Lineage: Bacteria; Pseudomonadati; Pseudomonadota; Gammaproteobacteria; Vibrionales; Vibrionaceae.